AUUGAACGCUGGCGGCAGGCCUAACACAUGCAGGUCGAACGGUAACAGGAAACAGCUUGCUGUUUCGCUGACGAGUGGCGGACGGGUGAGUAAUGUCUGGGAAACUGCCUGAUGGAGGGGGAUAACUACUGGAAACGGUAGCUAAUACCGCAUAACGUCGCAAGACCAAAGAGGGGGACCUUCGGGCCUCUUGCCAUCGGAUGUGCCCAGAUGGGAUUAGCUAGUAGGUGGGGUAACGGCUCACCUAGGCGACGAUCCCUAGCUGGUCUGAGAGGAUGACCAGCCACACUGGAACUGAGAAACGGUCCAGACUCCUACGGGAGGCAGCAGUGGGGAAUAUUGCACAAUGGGCGCAAGCCUGAUGCAGCCAUGCCGCGUGUAUGAAGAAGGCCUUCGGGUUGUAAAGUACUUUCAGCGGGGAGGAAGGGAGUAAAGUUAAUACCUUUGCUCAUUGACGUUACCCGCAGAAGAAGCACCGGCUAACUCCGUG
RNAcentral lists this ribosomal RNA (490 nucleotides) under uncultured bacterium. RNAcentral describes it as "partial 16S ribosomal RNA". It matches the Rfam family "Bacterial small subunit ribosomal RNA", at positions 30 to 507 of the family's 1533-position model. The record is from RNAcentral.